GGGACCAUCCUCCAAGGCUAAAUACUCCUGACUGACCGAUAGUGAACCAGUACCGUGAGGGAAAGGCGAAAAGAACCCCGGCGAGGGGAGUGAAAAAGAACCUGAAACCGUGUACGUACAAGCAGUGGGAGCACGCUUAGGCGUGUGACUGCGUACCUUUUGUAUAAUGGGUCAGCGACUUAUAUUCUGUAGCAAGGUUAACCGAAUAGGGGAGCCGAAGGGAAACCGAGUCUUAACUGGGCGUUAAGUUGCAGGGUAUAGACCCGAAACCCGGUGAUCUAGCCAUGGGCAGGUUGAAGGUUGGGUAACACUAACUGGAGGACCGAACCGACUAAUGUUGAAAAAUUAGCGGAUGACUUGUGGCUGGGGGUGAAAGGCCAAUCAAACCGGGAGAUAGCUGGUUCUCCCCGAAAGCUAUUUAGGUAGCGCCUCGUGAAUUCAUCUCCGGGGGUAGAGCACUGUUUCGGCAAGGGGGUCAUCCCGACUUACCAACCCGAUGCAAACUGCGAAUACCGGAGAAUGUUAUCACGGGAGACACACGGCGGGUGCUAACGUCCGUCGUGAAGAGGGAAACAACCCAGACCGCCAGCUAAGGUCCCAAAGUCAUGGUUAAGUGGGAAACGAUGUGGGAAGGCCCAGACAGCCAGGAUGUUGGCUUAGAAGCAGCCAUCAUUUAAAGAAAGCGUAAUAGCUCACUGGUCGAGUCGGCCUGCGCGGAAGAUGUAACGGGGCUAAACCAUGCACCGAAGCUGCGGCAGCGACGCUUAUGCGUUGUUGGGUAGGGGAGCGUUCUGUAAGCCUGUGAAGGUGUACUGUGAGGUAUGCUGGAGGUAUCAGAAGUGCGAAUGCUGACAUAAGUAACGAUAAAGCGGGUGAAAAGCCCGCUCGCCGGAAGACCAAGGGUUCCUGUCCAACGUUAAUCGGGGCAGGGUGAGUCGACCCCUAAGGCGAGGCCGAAAGGCGUAGUCGAUGGGAAACAGGUUAAUAUUCCUGUACUUGGUGUUACUGCGAAGGGGGGACGGAGAAGGCUAUGUUGGCCGGGCGACGGUUGUCCCGGUUUAAGCGUGUAGGCUGGUUUUCCAGGCAAAUCCGGAAAAUCAAGGCCGAGGCGUGAUGACGAGGCACUACGGUGCUGAAGCAACAAAUGCCCUGCUUCCAGGAAAAGCCUCUAAGCAUCAGGUAACAUCAAAUCGUACCCCAAACCGACACAGGUGGUCAGGUAGAGAAUACCAAGGCGCUUGAGAGAACUCGGGUGAAGGAACUAGGCAAAAUGGUGCCGUAACUUCGGGAGAAGGCACGCUGAUACGUAGGUGAAGCGACUUGCUCGUGGAGCUGAAAUCAGUCGAAGAUACCAGCUGGCUGCAACUGUUUAUUAAAAACACAGCACUGUGCAAACACGAAAGUGGACGUAUACGGUGUGACGCCUGCCCGGUGCCGGAAGGUUAAUUGAUGGGGUUAGCGCAAGCGAAGCUCUUGAUCGAAGCCCCGGUAAACGGCGGCCGUAACUAUAACGGUCCUAAGGUAGCGAAAUUCCUUGUCGGGUAAGUUCCGACCUGCACGAAUGGCGUAAUGAUGGCCAGGCUGUCUCCACCCGAGACUCAGUGAAAUUGAACUCGCUGUGAAGAUGCAGUGUACCCGCGGCAAGACGGAAAGACCCCGUGAACCUUUACUAUAGCUUGACACUGAACAUUGAGCCUUGAUGUGUAGGAUAGGUGGGAGGCUUUGAAGUGUGGACGCCAGUCUGCAUGGAGCCGACCUUGAAAUACCACCCUUUAAUGUUUGAUGUUCUAACGUGGACCCGUAAUCCGGGUUGCGGACAGUGUCUGGUGGGUAGUUUGACUGGGGCGGUCUCCUCCUAAAGAGUAACGGAGGAGCACGAAGGUUGGCUAAUCCUGGUCGGACAUCAGGAGGUUAGUGCAAUGGCAUAAGCCAGCUUGACUGCGAGCGUGACGGCGCGAGCAGGUGCGAAAGCAGGUCAUAGUGAUCCGGUGGUUCUGAAUGGAAGG
This 2006-nucleotide ribosomal RNA is filed under the name Shigella flexneri. RNAcentral's name for it is "partial 23S ribosomal RNA". It matches the Rfam family "Bacterial large subunit ribosomal RNA", at positions 449 to 2440 of the family's 2925-position model. Lineage: Bacteria; Pseudomonadati; Pseudomonadota; Gammaproteobacteria; Enterobacterales; Enterobacteriaceae. The record is from RNAcentral.